Leucoraja erinaceus (little skate) is the source of this 1777-nucleotide RNA transcript. It is a transcript of the gene named chromosome 6 C2orf49 homolog, with no coding region annotated. The transcript is spliced from 5 exons. The record is from RefSeq and is a predicted model, not a curated record. Lineage: Eukaryota; Metazoa; Chordata; Chondrichthyes; Rajiformes; Rajidae.
CGCAGCCCCCUUCCGCAUGACGACACCUGUGAUGGUGACGCGCCAGAGCGGCGCUGCGAUUGGCCGGGCGGAGGUCACGUGUAGAGGGGGGGACGUCUCCUGCGCAGCUUGUUUGCAGGAGUUGCUGGAAAUGGCGGUUGGGGAAGCCGCGGAUGGGCAGGUUCACUUCGAUUGUAAUCUGUUGAUGCAUCCGGAGCUCCUGUCCGGAGAUUUCCUCCUGCAGCUGUUGAAGCAGAGGGAAAUACCUACUGAGAACCUGCAUGAUGCAGAGAAGGAUCAGAUUGUUGAAGUGUACAUUCAGCAUGUCAUCCCCCUGCCACAGAGGGAGUUGCCCAAGAAUAGAUGGGGAAGAAAGAUGGUUGAGAAAAGAAAACACCAGUCCAUUUGUGCGACACAGAGUAAAAGGCCAACACCAGAGGUUUCAAGAAAAAGACCUCUAAUUGUGUUCGAUGGCAGCUCUACGAGCACGAAAAUAAAACUAAAAAAGAAUGACAGUGGAACGGCUGAUCUAGUCCAACAUCCGCCAGCAGGGAUUGCAAACACGAGUCCCAGUAAUAAACCCCCUGUCCAGCUAAGUGACACACACAUUCUGACUGAUGUUAAUGCAGUCAAAAAUCCAGUUCGAGGUGCUGUAUCUACCAACGGUAUGGCCACCAUGAAACAUGGAGGUGACAUGCCUUUGAAAACCUCACCUUUGCCGUGCCCAACAUCUCCUGGAGGCGCCAAUCCCAUAAAACUAAAGCGAGCGCUUCCAACAGAUGGAGAGGGUGAUCCACCAGUUGGGUGGGUAUACCUGACCAAUGCAGAGUUGGGAAAUUCUGUCUGGGGCAGCAUGGUGGCACAGCGGUAGAGUUGCAGCCUUGCAGCACCAGAGGUCCGGGUUCGAUCCCAACUACGGGUGCUGUCUGUACGGAGUUUGUAUGAUCUUUCUGUGACCAUGUGGAUUUUUCCCGGGUGCUCUGGUUUCCUCCCACACUCCAAAGACAUACAGGGGGAGUUAAGCUCUGCAGACCCAAAGAGAAAGAUUCAACAUGUUACUUGGCCAUAAAAUCUGCUAGUCCUAAUAUUUUGGGGACGGUGUUUUAUUUAUAUUUGAGUUAGCAAUGCCAACAAACCUCUUGGAAAUGGCAGCCUAGAAAACCAACUGGAAAAGAUGCACUCAUUAUACUGUUUUUAAAAAAUAUAACCUGACCAAAUUUGGUUCUGAAAAGUAGGCCAACUACUGGCAUACAUCCCCCACUGAGCAAUUUUGUACCACAUUACAAUUUAUAUAUUCUGUACAACCAUGGGUUUUUUUUGAUUUAGCUUUCUGUUUGCGAAAGGUUUGUUAUUAUAUUUUGAAUAGAAAAUAGAUCGUCAUGUAGCAUAUGAGGUACGGUAUAUCACAUUAUGCAUAAUUACUGCAUAAAUGAUCAGGCCUGCAAAUAACUGAAUGAACAAUGAGUUUAAAGCUGAAACUCCCUUUUAGUUGUAAUAAUGGUUCAAGAGCACCAUUCUGCCUUUAAAAAAAUAUUAUGCUGUAUUUUUCCAUCUGAUUUGUUUCCAGAAUUAACUCCUUUUUAUUUUUAAAUUAUAUUUCAUGUUGCAAAACAAAGCCCAAGUAAACGGCAUAAAAGUUGUUUCAAUUGUGCAGGAAUGGAAACAUGAGCUUGUAUAAGAAUAAAUCCACUGUGAGCGGGUAAAUUUUCAUUGAUUUCCUCAAUCCCGCCGGAAAUGUAAACUUGUUUCGGUCUAUUGUUUUAUUAAAGAACACUAUAUUGUCAUCACAAAUUUUAAA